Molecule: ribosomal RNA, 1243 nt
Filed under: Dicyemennea eledones
Lineage: Eukaryota; Metazoa; Dicyemida; Rhombozoa; Dicyemidae
Description: SSU rRNA
Rfam family: Eukaryotic small subunit ribosomal RNA
Source: RNAcentral
UGGCUUACCGUGGUUGCAACGGGUAACGGGGAAUCAGGGUUCGGUUCCCGAGAGGGAGCAUGAGAAAUGGCUGCCAGAUCUAUGGAUUGCAGCAGGUGCGUAAAUUAUCCACUUUUGGCAUAAAGAGAUAGUGAUCAUAAAUAGCGGAUUCGGGUAUUUGCCUGGAGAUCGCAAUGAAAUAAUCGUAAAAGCUUUAAUGAAUGCAAUUGGAGGGCAAGUCUGGUGCCAGCAGCCGCGGCAAUUCCAGUUCCAAUAGUGUAUACUAAAGUUGCUGCAGUUGAAAAGCUCGUAGUUGGAUCUCGGCUUGCUAGCGUGUGUGAGCGCGCAAGUAGGCCUUUGCUGUAGUUUCACACUACGGCUUUACCUUGAACAAAAUAGAGUGCUUAAAGCAAGCAUUCUGCUUGAAUAUCUCAGCAUGGAAUAAUAGAAUACGACUUUUCUGUUGGUUUACCAGCAAAAGUAAUGAUUAACAGAGACAGACGGGGGCAUCCGUAUUGCUCCGUUAGAGGUGAAAUUCGUAGAUCGGUGCAGGACGUACUACAGCGAAAGCAUUUGCCAAGGAUGUUUUCAUUAAUCAAGAACGACAGUUGGAGUAUCGAAGUCGAUUAGAUCUCGUCGUAGUUCCAACUAUAAACGAUGCCAACUAGCACUCCGCUGGUAAUAUUUUUUUUACACUAGCGGGUGGCUUCCGGGAAACCAAAGUCUUUGGGCUCCGGGGGAAGUAUGGUUGCAAAGCUGAAACUUAAAGGAAUUGACGGAAGGGCACCACCAGGAGUGGAGCUUGCGGCUCAAUUUGACUCAACACAGAAAAACUCACCCGGGACCGAACACAGUAAGGAUUGACAAAUUGACAGCUUUUUCUUGAUACUGUGGGUAGUGGUGCAUGGCCGUUGUUGGUUGGUGGAGUGAUUUGUCUGGUUUAUUCCGAUAACGAACGAGACUCAGACCUACUUACUAGUCGUUAGAUUAUCGUUUAACAACUACUAAGAGGGAUCAGUGUCAAAAACACUUGAAAAUGAGCAAUAACAGGUCUGUGAUUGCCCUUAGACGUUCGGGGCCGCACGCGUGCUACAAUGAAGAAAGCAAUGGGUGUCUUGCUUGGUAAAGCCGGCUUAGCCUUAAAAUUUCUUCGUGGCAGGAAUCGAGGCUUGUAAUUAUUCCUCGUGCACAAGGAAUUCCUAGUAAUCGCAGGUCAUUAGCCUGCAAUGAUUACGUCCCUGCCCUUUGUACACACCGCCCGUCA